Molecule: long non-coding RNA, 559 nt
Filed under: Heterocephalus glaber (naked mole-rat)
Lineage: Eukaryota; Metazoa; Chordata; Mammalia; Rodentia; Bathyergidae
Description: lncRNA (ENSHGLG00100046220.1)
Source: RNAcentral
AGUUGGCCAAGUACUAUCGCCUGAAUGGACUCGGAGGAUGUGUAUGACGAUGUUGAAACUCUACCCAUGAAAAAUAUGGAAAAUGGUAAUAAUGGUUAUCAUAAAGAUCAUUUAUAUGGUGUUCACAAUCCCGUUAUGACAAGGUAACGCAAAGCCCAGAAGUGCAUGCCUGUCCUGUGACCACUCUGCUUAUUCCCUGUAGAUCAGACCCUGAGCCUUCUGCAUGCUGCUGACCCCUUCACUUCCCCCUGCCUGCAGGACCCUCUCUCAGUGGCUGUCCCCAGUCACCCCUACAUAGCAUUCCACGAUGCCACAAGUUUGCAUUUUCAACGGAUUUCUUAGCAGCUGGAAUUGUGCAGCAACGAAAGCUUGGUUUCAUCUUAAAAUGCUAUGUAUGGCUCAUCUAAAUCAUUACGGAUUAAACGCAUGCACACUUUUGAUUUAGCAUUUCUCUGCAUUGAACACACUAAGUGUUAAUAGCUCUCCAGGCCUACCCUUCUUUCCCUCCCCCUUCUUCCUUUCCUCCCUUCCUUCCAGUAAAUUGACUAUGAUUGACCAG